UACGGGGGGGGCAAGCGUUGUUCGGAAUUACUGGGCGUAAAGGGCUCGUAGGUGGCCAACUAAGUCAGACGUGAAAUCCCUCAGCUUAACUGGGGAACUGCGUCUGAUACUGGAUGGCUUGAGUUUGGGAGAGGGAUGCGGAAUUCCAGGUGUAGCGGUGAAAUGCGUAGAUAUCUGGAGGAACACCGGUGGCGAAAGCGGGUCUCUGGGCCGUUACUGACGCUGAGGAGCGAAAGCGUGGGGAGCGAACAGG
This 253-nucleotide ribosomal RNA is filed under the name uncultured bacterium. RNAcentral's name for it is "partial 16S ribosomal RNA". It matches the Rfam family "Bacterial small subunit ribosomal RNA", at positions 524 to 776 of the family's 1533-position model. The record is from RNAcentral.